Molecule: ribosomal RNA, 315 nt
Filed under: uncultured Eocercomonas
Lineage: Eukaryota; Cercozoa; Cercomonadida; Cercomonadidae
Description: SSU rRNA
Rfam family: Eukaryotic small subunit ribosomal RNA (bases 99-315)
Source: RNAcentral
AACUUCAGGCCUGGCUGGACGGUCCGCCUUCCGGGCGAGUACUGUCUGUGGUCGGGUCCUACCUUCUGGCGAAGCGUCAUGGCCUUAACCGGCCGUGGCGGGGAACCAGGACUUUUACUGUGAAAAAAUUAGAGUGUUCAAAGCAGGCAAUUCGCUUGGAUACAUUAGCAUGGAAUAAUGGAAUAGGACAAUGGUUCUAUUUGUUGGUUUCUAGGACUGUUGUAAUGAUUAAUAGGGAUAGUUGGGGGCAUUAGUAUUCAAUUGUCAGAGGUGAAAUUCUUGGAUUUAUUGAAGACUAACUACUGCGAAAGCAUU